UACGGGGGGGGCUAGCGUUGUUCGGAAUUAUUGGGCGUAAAGAGCUCGUAGGCGGUCUGUCGCGUCUGCUGUGAAAACUCGGGGCUUAACCCCGGGCCUGCAGUGGGUACGGGCAGACUAGAGUGCGGUAGGGGAGACUGGAAUUCCUGGUGUAGCGGUGAAAUGCGCAGAUAUCAGGAGGAACACCGGUGGCGAAGGCGGGUCUCUGGGCCGAUACUGACGCUGAGGAGCGAAAGCGUGGGGAGCGAACAGG
RNAcentral lists this ribosomal RNA (253 nucleotides) under uncultured bacterium. RNAcentral's name for it is "partial 16S ribosomal RNA". It matches the Rfam family "Bacterial small subunit ribosomal RNA", at positions 524 to 776 of the family's 1533-position model. The record is from RNAcentral.